RNAcentral lists this ribosomal RNA (421 nucleotides) under Theileria sinensis. Its description in RNAcentral is "SSU rRNA". It matches the Rfam family "Eukaryotic small subunit ribosomal RNA", at positions 440 to 901 of the family's 1831-position model. The record is from RNAcentral. Lineage: Eukaryota; Apicomplexa; Aconoidasida; Piroplasmida; Theileriidae.
AUUACCCAAUACGGACACGGGGAGGUAGUGACAAGAAAUAACAAUACGGGGCUUAAUGUCUUGUAAUUGGAAUGAUGGGAAUUUAAACCUCUUCCAGAGUAUCAAUUGGAGGGCAAGUCUGGUGCCAGCAGCCGCGGUAAUUCCAGCUCCAAUAGCGUAUAUUAAAAUUGUUGCAGUUAAAAAGCUCGUAGUUGAAUUUCUGCUGCAUCGUCGCAUCUCUUGCUGAGUGCUUCGUUUCGGCUUAUUUCGGAUUGAUUUUUUCUUUCCGGAUGAUUACUUUGAGAAAAUUAGAGUGCUCAAAGCAGGCUUUUGCCUUGAAUAGUUUAGCAUGGAAUAAUAAAGUAGGACUUUGGUUCUAUUUUGUUGGUUUUAGGUACCAAAGUAAUGGUUAAUAGGAACAGUUGGGGGCAUUCGUAUUUAA